This 295-nucleotide long non-coding RNA is filed under the name Triticum aestivum (bread wheat). RNAcentral describes it as "long non-coding RNA (TAES_LNC008624)". Lineage: Eukaryota; Viridiplantae; Streptophyta; Magnoliopsida; Poales; Poaceae. The record is from RNAcentral.
AUUGAAGGAGAAUUCCAUGUCAUAGUCAAAAACAUUUUUAGAUAACUUUCAUCACGACCAAAUAGCUCCAAACAUAAAGAAGUGCAUACAUGCUAACAACAGUGAUAAAGUGACAAAAUGACAAGAGGAUAACCCAUGAAAGUCUCCGGCCUCUCAGCUAAAGUACUCAUAACACCAACAUUUGAUAAAUAUAAGGUGAUAGCUACUAGUUCCUCAUUCCUCUUCCUCGUCACCACCUGCAUCGCCACCACCACUUGCCUUCUUCUGGUUCUUUCUCUUCACCCGGCCUGCAGGG